GGACUACCCGGGUAUCUAAUCCUGUUUGCUCCCCACGCUUUCGAGUCUCAGCGUCAGUAUUCGUCCAGUUGGCCGCCUUCGCCACCGGUGUUCCUCUCGAUAUCUACGAAUUUCACCUCUACACCGAGAAUUCCACCAACCUCUCCGAUACUCUAGCUUGACAGUAUCGAGUGCACUUCCCGGGUUGAGCCCGGGGCUUUCACAUCCGACUUAUCAAACCGCCUACACUCGCUUUACGCCCAGUAAUUCCGAACAACGUUUGCACCCUCUGUCUUACCGCGGCUGCUGGCAC
RNAcentral lists this ribosomal RNA (292 nucleotides) under uncultured bacterium. RNAcentral describes it as "partial 16S ribosomal RNA". The record is from RNAcentral.